RNAcentral lists this ribosomal RNA (491 nucleotides) under uncultured bacterium. Its description in RNAcentral is "partial 16S ribosomal RNA". It matches the Rfam family "Bacterial small subunit ribosomal RNA", at positions 29 to 507 of the family's 1533-position model. The record is from RNAcentral.
AGUGAACGCUGGCGGUAGGCCUAACACAUGCAAGUCGAACGGCAGCACAGUAAGAGCUUGCUCUUACGGGUGGCGAGUGGCGGACGGGUGAGGAAUACAUCGGAAUCUACUUUUUCGUGGGGGAUAACGUAGGGAAACUUACGCUAAUACCGCAUACGACCUACGGGUGAAAGCAGGGGAUCUUCGGACCUUGCGCGAUUGAAUGAGCCGAUGUCGGAUUAGCUAGUUGGCGGGGUAAAGGCCCACCAAGGCGACGAUCCGUAGCUGGCCUGAGAGGAUGAUCAGCCACACUGGAACUGAGACACGGUCCAGACUCCUACGGGAGGCAGCAGUGGGGAAUAUUGGACAAUGGGCGCAAGCCUGAUCCAGCCAUACCGCGUGGGUGAAGAAGGCCUUCGGGUUGUAAAGCCCUUUGUUGGGAAAGAAAAGCAGCAGGUUAAUACCCCGCUGUUCUGACGGUACCCAAAGAAUAAGCACCGGCUAACUUCGUG